ACUUCCAGUCCAUGCUUCUUAUUUAUUCUUGGCAUCAGGACCUUAUCAGCCCAUCAUAAAGAAAUAUACCAGAUGAAACAUGUGAGAUUGCAAGAUGAACUAUCCUGCAUUUCAAUCCCCCGGCUUGAGCAAAACCCUUUUAUAUCUAAAAGUAGUCAUACAAAUGGAGUUCCUUUGGAUUCUCUUCCAUCCGGAUUGGCAAAAACCUUUUAUAUCUAAAACUAGUCAUACAAAUGGAGUUCCUUUGGAUUCUCUUCCAUCCGGAUUGGACGUUAGUAACACCUUCAUUAUUGGUACACAUAAGCCUUCUGUGGAAGUUCUAUCAUUUACUUCUGAUAAAGGCGUG
Molecule: long non-coding RNA, 346 nt
Filed under: Nicotiana benthamiana
Lineage: Eukaryota; Viridiplantae; Streptophyta; Magnoliopsida; Solanales; Solanaceae
Description: long non-coding RNA (NBEN_LNC026707)
Source: RNAcentral